This 224-nucleotide long non-coding RNA is filed under the name Hordeum vulgare. RNAcentral's name for it is "long non-coding RNA (HVUL_LNC009090)". Lineage: Eukaryota; Viridiplantae; Streptophyta; Magnoliopsida; Poales; Poaceae. The record is from RNAcentral.
UUUUUUUAUUGCAACAGAAGUAAGUCACACAAAAAUGUUGACCAGGGUUCUAAAAAUAGGGAAUGAUUUUAGAAGGCCCUAGGAAUUAGAAUCACUCCAUUUGGAGUUGAUUUGGAAGCUAUAGGAAUUUGAAAGGUGGGACAUUCAUAUCCAUAUUUGGAUUUUGAGUAAUAACACUACAGAAAAUCUUCUUGGAAAAAUGUGCAAAGCACAUAUGUGGAUAC